GUCAGCGGGUCUGGCCUGAAGUGCUGGGGGUUGGGACAAAAGGAAGCGCUGGUCUGACACAGGAUUGCCCCUGCACUGACCUCCUCUGCAAGGCCGAGUGAGCAAGAUAUAUUUUUCCCCUCUUGGACUCGGACCUUAGAGAAAGAAGGUGAGCCUUUUUCCAGGAAAAGCCAAAAGAAAUCCAGCAAAAACUCUCGAGGCAGUUCGGAGGAGGCAUCCUUCCAGCCUCCCACUCUAUUGUCUUCUGCAGAACCACCUCUUCCAGCCCAGCCCAGCCUAAGAAAAGAUACAUCAAUAUCCUCAAUAUCAGGGACACUGACCGGGUGAAGGACGGAGCCCUCUGCUUCGUUAUUUCUGCUUGACGGACUGAGGAGUUCUUCCUACACACUGGGAGAAGUACCUACAGACAGGCUUUCCAGACCCACAGCAAGCCUAACCACCGUGGAACACAGGAAAGAAGUAGAAGACAGGAAACAGGAAAGGGCCAAGGUCACAGCAGAGAAGCAACUUCUCGCACACGGACUUUGCCUUAAGUCUUGUUGGCUGGACCACAGAGUAACCCCCUACAAAGGACAUUAGGAAAUAAGCUUCAAGCAAAUGCUACCAUCUGCAGUAAAAUUGAAGUUCUGUCAGGGAAAAGAAGAGAAGGAUGUCAUAUCGAAGAGCAUCACCAGGAUCUCUCCGCUGGACUUUCCAUCCCUUGGUUUCAGGAAAUAGUUUCUGGUGCUAAAAAACACAAAAGCCCAGUUCUAGAGCAUAGUGGCAGGCCCUGGCUGCUAAGCCAUCCUGUCUCUGUGGGGAGAGCAGAGAGAAGGCUUCAGCCAUGUUACAGAGUGACUGUGUACAGGAGCUGUGAACACGCAGGGGAGAGGCCCAAUACACACAGGACAGCAGGGAAUCCUAUUAACUAUCAAGUGACACCCCAAGAAUAAGGAUGAUGAAGCAUUCUGACUGGAGUACAAAACCAGGGACAGCAGGGAUACAUGAGGCUGGGGAGAGACUGGAAAACCAAGUGUCGUACAAAGAAUGGAGGCCUUAUCCCCAGAGCACAGGGACAGCCACUGAAGACUUCUGAGUAGCAGGGGCUCUGAGCUGAUCUGCAUUCCCCAUAAGCCCAUCUGGCAACCAGAUGAGAGAGGAAAGGGGCGAGAUCCAGAAAGAGUUCCAGGAGCAGAGAUAUGAACUUGGACUGUGCAAGAGGUAGGGAGAAAAAAUUCAGGAGACGGCACUCAUGUGCCUGUGGUACACACGUCAGUGAGGAGUCCCACCACUCCUCUCACACACACAGUGCUUGCCACAUUCAUCCCCAGCAGAGAGGACCCAGAAGGACUAGCAGCCAUGGGGAAAGCCAGUGGUGUCCUAAGGAUUCACUUUGAGUUCACCCAGUUUGAACUACAUACAGGUAAAGAUGGGCAGCCGGAGUCUAAGUAUUUAUCCUUAUGCCCACAGAUGAUUGUAGCUCCCGUCUCUCACCAGAUAACUCUUCUGUGCAACAGAUGGACACCAUUCCAGAAAACCACCACUGGUCAAAGCACAGAGGGCAAGCGAUCGUGGCUGUUAAGUCCCAGGUGACACAUGUGCAUCCCAACUGUGUCACUGAAGACUCCUGGAACAUUCUGGAAGAUGUGGCGGAGGGCUUCAUUCUAAGAGCCAAAGGACCAGGAAGUCAGCUGUGAGACUGUCUCCUAGAAACAAAAGGGAAGCAUCUCUCUUGAUACUCAACAUUAUCAGUGUCUAAACAAGACCUGCUUGAGGAUGACAGCAGCAGCAGAUGUCCUAACAGAGAAAGAGGAAAUCUCACAGGCCCCACCCAUAGGCAAAGAACUACAGGCAGCUAAGGAAUUCGGAGAAAAAAGUCUUCCCCAAGGAGGAGCCUUACACUUGGCUACCCAAUGCCAAGUGGUCAGCCUUGAAAUCAUAUACAUACGAGUAACAUCAAAUGGACUGAACCGGUUGGGUUUACAUUUAUCUAUUUACAUUGUAUGUGUGUGUGUGUGUGUGUGUGUGUGUGUGUGUGUGUGUGUGUGUGCCAUGAGUUUGAGAGGGACCAGAGGAAGCGUUAGAGGGAAUAGAAGAACAGGAGAACAUGAUAUUAUAUUUCUUUUAAAUUAAAAUAAAUACUUUUGAAAGUGGGCAGCUGGUAGGUGGCUAUGCUGACUCAUUGCCCAGGAUAGACACAGAAGUCAAGAAAAGGGUGGGUGGAGGUACGCCAGCCCUCCGGGAAGGAGGAUGUCUCCCAGUGAGAGUGUGAGGAGAAGGACAUCCAGAAACGAAUGCAGCAACAUCUGCCCAAGAAAUAGAACCAGAGCGGAGGAAGGUAGGCCAGGGGAGAGAGUUGCCGGUAGAGACCAGAGGUCAUGUUCAAAGAGGAAGACUGAAGACCGACCAUGCUGUGAACAAGGUAUGACCUAAGGGGCAGCUACUGAGCUGACCAGGUCCUGCACUGAGGACCCAAGCAAGGGUGUCUCCAGCGGAUGAUAUGGUUGAAGGCCAGAUUCUGUGGGUGCAGGAGAACCCAGGAUAGAGAAAGUGUAAACGCACGGUGUUCCUGAUUUUUUUUUACUCACCGGUCACAAUUGGGUCAAAUUGUGUGAUGACUAAAGGCAAAAGUCUUUCUUGUAUAUGUUUUACUAUCUUAACUACUUUUUAUUUGUUCUCUCACAGUGACACACACACACACACACACUUACUUUGGCCACAUCUCCCCACCUCCCAGUAUCCUCUCUUCCCUCUCCUCUCUCACUAAACCCUUUCAUGCUCCCAGCAACCCCCUCCUACUUUCAUAUUUUUCUCUCUGCUGUUGCUAAUUUGUUUUUGUUUUGUUUCCUUGUGACCCACUGAAUUUAAUUAGGGCUACCCGCACGAGCAUGGGUGGGGAGUUAUUUACUCGAGCAAGAACAACCUUCCAGUAGCUAGCCCACUGAGGACUGUGACUCUCUCUGCCUCAGCAACCAUUAAUUGCCUGUGGUUCCUCAGGGAGGGGUGGGACCUUGUGAGCCCCUCCCUUGUCCAUGAUGGAAUGUUGUGAGUUCAUGAUGCAAAAGCCAUGUCCUGUCCAGAAGACAGCAUUUAUGGUACUCCUUCUCGCCCUUGGGCUGUCCUGUCUAGUGCUUUGUGCUCAAUGGUCACUUAGCCAUCUGAGUCUCUCCACUCACUGAGGAUGCUUCUCUAACCAAGGCCAAGUACUGAUGUAUGGUAAAAACAGUAUUUAAAAGGCACUUUGACACCAUGUCCAUCUAGCAAAACAAAAGUAACAGGUUCUCCCUCUAAGGCCUAUGAUCUCCUUAGCCGUGGGUUUUUGACCAGGUUUACAGUACCUGGUCUGGAUUCCUCCUGCGAAGCAGGUCUACAAGCCAAUAAGAAAGUGGUUGGUUGGGGUUGGGGAUUUAGCUCAGUGGUAGAGCGCUUGCCUAGCAAACGCAAGGCCCUGGGUUCGGUCCUCAGCUCCGAAAAAAAGAAAGUGGUUGGUUGGCCACGACAGUCACACCACUACUGCUUGGUGGUGUAACUCUCGGGGUUCGCACUAGAAUAGGACCAUUGAUGGCAUUCCUUCUCCAGUGCCUGUACGGCACUUAGAGCCUUUGAGCACUCAGAGACCAGCCGGCAGUAAGACGCUCCUAGUUCAGGUUCAGAUUGAUGUCGCUAUAUCCUGCAACUGAAGUGUAAGACACCUUCAGCAAUAUGGUCUUUAUCAACUAGUUCUAGUGGGCCAUUCAGAGCAAUGGCUGUGGCCUGAAUUGUUUUGAGAGCCCUUCGGUCCUUCCCGGCCAACAAUUCAUGAGGCGAUACCCUACCCAAUUUUAUAUCUUUAUUUAACACAUACUUCUAACGAUGGGAAUUCAUUUAAUACUCUAAAUAAUCCAAUGAAAGAAUCCUAGAGAGAUGGUUCAGUGAUUAAGCGUGAGUACAGCUUUUGCAGAGGACUAGAGUUCAGUUCCCAGCACCCAUGUCAGAUGACUCACAGCUGCCUGUAACUACAGUGGGGGGGGGUCUAGUACCCUCUUCUGGCUGCCUCGAGCAACUGCACGUACACGCACAUACCCUCACACAGACACACGUACAUACACAUAAUGAACAACAAAUCUUUUUUUAAAAAGAAAGAA
Molecule: small RNA, 4103 nt
Filed under: Rattus norvegicus (Norway rat)
Lineage: Eukaryota; Metazoa; Chordata; Mammalia; Rodentia; Muridae
Description: uncharacterized LOC102549824
Source: RNAcentral